AGUGAACGCUGGCGGUAGGCCUAACACAUGCAAGUCGAACGGCAGCACAGUAAGAGCUUGCUCUUACGGGUGGCGAGUGGCGGACGGGUGAGGAAUACAUCGGAAUCUACUUUUUCGUGGGGGAUAACGUAGGGAAACUUACGCUAAUACCGCAUACGACCUACGGGUGAAAGCAGGGGAUCUUCGGACCUUGCGCGAUUGAAUGAGCCGAUGUCGGAUUAGCUAGUUGGCGGGGUAAAGGCCCACCAAGGCGACGAUCCGUAGCUGGUCUGAGAGGAUGAUCAGCCACACUGGAACUGAGACACGGUCCAGACUCCUACGGGAGGCAGCAGUGGGGAAUAUUGGACAAUGGGCGCAAGCCUGAUCCAGCCAUACCGCGUGGGUGAAGAAGGCCUUCGGGUUGUAAAGCCCUUUUGUUAGGAAAGAAAAGCAGCAUGUUAAUACCCCGCUGUUCUGACGGUACCCAAAGAAUAAGCACCGGCUAACUUCGUG
RNAcentral lists this ribosomal RNA (492 nucleotides) under uncultured bacterium. Its description in RNAcentral is "partial 16S ribosomal RNA". It matches the Rfam family "Bacterial small subunit ribosomal RNA", at positions 29 to 507 of the family's 1533-position model. The record is from RNAcentral.